This 29-nucleotide small RNA is filed under the name Bombyx mori (domestic silkworm). RNAcentral's name for it is "ovarian small RNA-18149". Lineage: Eukaryota; Metazoa; Arthropoda; Insecta; Lepidoptera; Bombycidae. The record is from RNAcentral.
UAAACCGUGAUCAAGUAAACGCUGGUAAA